AUUGAAAGCUGGCGGCAUGCUUUACACAUGCAAGUCGAACGGUAACAGGUUAAGCUGACGAGCGGCGAACGGGUGAGUAAUGCAUCGGAACGUGCCCGGUCGUGGGGGAUAACGCAGCGAAAGCUGCGCUAAUACCGCAUCCGAUCUGAGGAUGAAAGCGGGGGCCCGUACGGCCUCACGAGAUCGGAGCGGCCGAUGUGCGGUUAGGUGGUUGGUGGGGUAAAGGCUCACCAAGCCAACGAUCUGUAGCUGGUCUGAGAGGACGACCAGCCACACUGGGACUGAGACACGGCCCAGACUCCUACGGGAGGCAGCAGUGGGGAAUUUUGGACAAUGGGCGAAAGCCUGAUCCAGCAAUGCCGCGAGCAGGAAGAAGGCCUUCGGGUUGUAAACUGCUUUUGUACGGAGCGAAAAGGUCUCCUCUAAUACAGGGGGCUCAUGACGGUACCGUAAGAAUAAGCACCGGCUAACUACGUGCCAGCCGCCGCAGUAA
This 493-nucleotide ribosomal RNA is filed under the name uncultured bacterium. RNAcentral describes it as "partial 16S ribosomal RNA". It matches the Rfam family "Bacterial small subunit ribosomal RNA", at positions 29 to 523 of the family's 1533-position model. The record is from RNAcentral.